AUGAUAUCAUAACUUUUAUUUGUUGGAUCUUCGACAAAAUUUAAGAGAAAGUAAAGGGAUUUAUUUUGUCCUUAAGGAAAAGAAAAACAACAAUUUCUAUUUUAUGUCCGAGAAGAUGAAGAAGUAGUCCGAAAGAGAAGCACCAAUCACAGCCCCAUAUCCAAUUCAUCUUUCCACCUGUUUCAGUUUUCACAUCCCAUUACUACGAUCUGCUUCAAAAUUACAACCCUAAACAAUUCUCUCUUUGGAGAAGAAGAAGAACAACAAAUUCAAAUGUCUCGUUAAUACCUCUAUACAAGGCAGUUUUUCCAAAACAAGCAAAAAAACACCGGACUAACUUUUCGUCUUCUUCCUUCAUCUCUGGCUUUGUUUUUGCAGUUUUUGGCUUGCAUGCCGUUUCUUUCAUCCAUUUCCUUCGUGGGUUUUUCCUUUUGGGCUCCCUCUUUGAGCCAUGGCGGCUAAAAAGCUCUGUGAAACCUUCUCCAAGACC
Molecule: long non-coding RNA, 490 nt
Filed under: Cucumis sativus (cucumber)
Lineage: Eukaryota; Viridiplantae; Streptophyta; Magnoliopsida; Cucurbitales; Cucurbitaceae
Description: long non-coding RNA (CSAT_LNC000957)
Source: RNAcentral